AAACGGGCCCCGGUAGGUGACCCUAGGAGGGCUCUAAAUGAGAACAAACGGUAGUGGGGAGGGAAAAAAUGAAGCUGAAUUGGGGGUGGAGGGAGAAAUGAAAGUGUUACAAUUAGCUAAUUGGGCCUAGUUCUGGAUCCAGCCUUAUCUCUCCCACUGUGCGCAACGCUCCUCUCGACAUCAAAGACCACCGCGUGCCUGGAGAAUUGGAAACGAUGUUUAUAGGGUACUUUGAAGAUGGAAAGUACAGUUUAAAUGCUGUUAUUAUUAUUGCUUUAAAUGUGAAACACUUUUUUGGGAGGUGGGAGUUUUUAACGUGUUUGUAAUUCUUGCGACGGGCAGGAGCAAGGCUGUGUGGCUAGGACGAACUUGGGGAGGUCAGAAGCACCCCCAUGUACCUUGGCAGCCUCGAGGAACCUGGCUCAGUCCCUUGUCCUCUCCGACUGUGUUUUCCGGGAAGAUGAGGGCUGUCAAUCAGAGGCUGUCAGUUUAUGUAAGAACAUGUCUUGGGGAUCUAAUUGAAAUACGGGAUCUUUCCAGGCAGCGUUGAUGGAGUUAUCACAUUACAGAUUUUAUUUGACUCUGAGUCUCAAUUCAUUCCUUUGUAUAGUUUCCAGUUUCUUCAUAAAACAGAAAUUAGACGGUGUCUUGACAUUAGAAUUUCACGAAAAAGCAAUCAAAUCCAAAUUACUCUGAAGAAGGAAAGGGCUAUAAAAAUGACUAAACAAAAUGGAAGGAGGGAGAGAGCCCCUUCUGGAAGCCCUGGUUCAUGAAUUAAUUUUGCUAUCCAGUCCUUGGGACAAAUCCAACUUAAUUUAAAAGGUUGCCAGACAGAGAACACAAGGAAAAACUUUUCAGACUGUGGUUCAGAGAGAAAUACUAUAAAGUUUAAAAGUUUUUAUUUACUUUUCUCCCCUCCCCUCUGCCUUCUCCUCUGCUCCUGCCUUCUCUCCUUCUCCCCUUCUUCCUCUCACUCCCUCCUCCUUUCCUCCUCUCCCUCCUCCCCUUCUCCUUUUCCCUCCCUCCUCCCCUCCUGCCUCCUUCCCUCCUCUCUCCCUCCUCCUUUCUUCCUUUGCAUACAACUCAGACAAGGGACUGCUUGGUGGCUGUCCCUUGGCUUCCCCCUGACCCAGCCGGUCAUUUCUCUUUCAUGUGUUCAGCGUGUUCUAACAGAAGAUUUUUUUUUCUUUCAAGCACUGGUGAGGGGAUUUUUUAAAUUAAAAAAUCAUCAAAGCUUAAAUGACUUGCCUGACAUAAAACUUGGACCCAACCUGGAACAGAGGCCUUGGGCCUUUUCAAUUUCCUAUGCUAACCAAAGCCCGGACUGGUCUUUUUUUUUUUUUUUUUUGUCUCUAGUAAUGAAAGGCACACAAGGUAUCGAGUUACUAAAUGGCUUUUAGCCUCUUGAAACUCAAGCGAAGGAAAAUCUCAUUCAUCUGAACUCUGCUAAUAGUGGAAUUUGUUACAAUUCGACCUGGCUAAACUGCACUUUACCAUGGGAUUACCCAGGAAGGCAAGUUGACCAGAGAACAGCUAUGCUAGAAGGCUGCUCAGGACAGAGCUUAGAUGCAAGCCCAGCUAAGAAGUUGUCUUAAAUCACUCAGUGUCUCACUUUCCUAAAUCACCCCUUGCUGAAUCCAGAAGAAGUGUGCCGUCAACGCUGACUUGAUCGAAGGGGAGCCAUUCUUACCCAGAAACCCUUUCAUCGUUAAGUUCUCCUUUGCCCUUGAGAGAAAGAAAAGUUCUCCCAGCACCUGGGAAAAGGAAGCAGGAGAAACUAAGAGGAGCCGUUCAAGGACCUCCUCAGCUGCAGACAGAAGACUCUGUCACAAAAAACAAAGGGGAGAGCAGUUGAAGAAGCCUUCUCUUCUACCCCCAGGCAGACCUGCCUGCUCCCAGCAGCGCUCAGGCAUGAAGGAAGGUUUGCUUGAAGCAGGAAGAUCUGUCAUUUCAAGCACAAAGGAGGUCUGGAACUGCAGGAGACAACUCCUUCCAACUCACCACUUUCUGGUUUCUUCUCGCCGUGCUUGGAACCAGAAAAGGGUUGAAGAAGAGAGGAAAUAAAACUCCACCCAGAGAAAAGUCCGGGAAACAUUCCUGCCUGCAGCAAGACCUGAGUCCAUCAGGGUCAGGCUCCUGCAGUACGGCCCGCCGGAGGGAUCUGUAGCAAACUUAUCUGACCCCCUCUUCCAUCACAUCCCACCCCACCGGCGAGCACAGCUCUGUCCCUGCCUCAGAACUUUGGGCUCCAACGCGUUUAUCAGAGAGUUGGGUUUUCAAGCUCUGUCUCCCCACCGCCGCCGCCGCCGCCGCCACCAUGAACACCCGCCAGAGUUGGCAGUCUGUAAUAUGCAAAAAUCCACCCAGAAAUGGAAGAGGGGACAUUUGCACAAGCUGGGUUGUGUCUACAGAAUUAGAAGGCACAGUUGGACUAAUUUUAGUGCCGAAAAAUUGGAAACACUGGGAAUAAGGCCCGGUGGGGAAAUGUGGGUUCUUGAAGCCGCUCGGAGAAGAGCCAGUGGGGAUUUAGGGGGUGGGUAUCUGGAGCCCCUGACUUGGCUGGAAGCUCAGGGUUGCAGAAGGGUUAAAUGUCCCAUAGGCCCCAGGUUAGAGGCCUGGGGUGGUGGGCUCCCUUGUCCUGGCUUCCCAGAUAUAUCUGCUUUCCUUUGUCCAGCCAUAGAUGAUCCCGCAGACACCGGGCUCUCUGGCACUUGGUCCCUUGGGACCCGAGGGGCUCAGGCCUCUGUGAUUGGCCUCACGUGGGUAGACAGCACACAAACUCACUUUGUAUCAGGGGAGCCAAGCAGCCUCCCCCCCCCCCCCCCCCCCCCCGGCUCCCUCUUUCCUUACAGCCAAUCGAGCCGAGGGAGCCUGAGAAUUUAUGAGAGGAGAGCGAAGCACUUUGAAGAAAGGCGCCCUUGUCUCCAGCCUGGCCAUGGCCCCCGCGGUGCGCGUGGGGAGGUGGGGAGGGGUGGGCACGCGAGAGGGGCCGGUGCCCCCGGGAUGGGUGGCGAAAGAAAAGAAUGCAAAAAGCCAGGGUCAAAAGUCUUUCUGGGAACAGAGAAGAAAGCUGAGAAGGGGGCUUGCUUCUCCACAGGUGUGCGGGUGAGCGAGCACAAUGGGGGCCUCCCUUGGCCCGUCCCAGGUGUCGCAGAGGAGGCCCAUCCUAGCCUCAGAAUGGGAAGGUAGGUCCCCAGGCAUCAAGCAAAUAACAUCAGUAUCAUUAAGACUGAGAUGGCCGCGCUCCUUGGACGGUUUUGGCUCUGAGACUCAGUUUCCUCAUCAGUGAAAUUACUCGGUGUAUUAACGCUCCUCUCGGGGCCUGUCGUCAAAUAAUUAAGUGCUCAAUUAAUACAGGCUUUUGGUGUGUGUGUGUGUGUGUGUGUGUGUGUGUGUGUGUGUGUGUGUGUGUCCGAUGUAUCUCACCACAUCUGCCCCCCAGUCUCUCUCACUUCCCCCCAAUGGACUGUCUUUCCAACAAGUUCCCCUCCCCCUUCUUGUUUCUUGGUCCAUUUUUGUGCUCGUUUGUUGUGUUGGUUGACUGGUUAGUUGGUUGGCUUGAUUUGGUUUGUCUUACUAUGCAGAGCUGGCUGGCCCCGGACUUAGCAUGUGGACCAUGCUGGUCUUGAACUCACAAAAAUCUGCCUGCCUCUGCCUCCCAGUGCUGGGAUUAAAGGUGUGUACACUACCACA
Molecule: non-coding RNA, 3693 nt
Organism: Rattus norvegicus (Norway rat)
Lineage: Eukaryota; Metazoa; Chordata; Mammalia; Rodentia; Muridae
Source: RefSeq, a predicted model, not a curated record